UAACUUUAACACUGUGCCCUUUGAAAAUGCACUGUAAUGUAACGUGGGCAAAGAGGAAUCGGCGAGCUUAAAUACCAAAAGAUGUAAAAUGAGAACGGAUGUAGAUAGUGCUGCUGCUGCCAAAACAUUCUGCUCAGUUAUUUCCAAACGUGAAGCGAUGGCCCUUUGUAGACCCCACUAUUGAUACCCACUGUGAAAUGUUCCGAGCUCAGCUUAAGUUGCAUGUUUUCCUUCCUGUGUAAUUGCAUGCAGGACUCUGUUCUGUUGCUUUGUGCUCACGUUGAGGAUUCUGACGGGUGCCUUCAAUUUGCAGGAGCGCAGAGCGGCUGGCGGCGGAGCGAGGGCUGGAGGCAGGAAGGGGCAGCGCGCACUGGGAAGCUCAGAUCCCGAGAGCACAGAGCAGAACCCUUUGCUGUCAUUGCUCAGCUGAGCCCCGUGUUCCAAUUGAAAUGUUUGUUUCCACGCUCACUUUGCUCCUUCUGCGCUGCGGGACGGAGGUCGGAUGCGUUGCUUUCAGGUGGUGAAGGACCGUGGUCCAGGAGCCCCGUGCUUUACUGCGAGUUGGAAGAAGCCGAGUGCCAGCUCUGCUGAAUGCCAGAGCUCCUUCAGCUGCCUCCAGAGCUGGAGAGAGGCAGCACUGAAGCACAGCCUUCCCCAUGGAGCUGUUGCUGCUGGCUCUGGAACCAAGCACGAGCAAAGGCGUGCCUGCAGUGUUCCACCCUGACCUGCUCCUGUAGAGCACCAGUGCUGCUGCUGGGCUGGAGGACGUGGUUCUGCCCCAGGUGCCGGGAUGCUGCUGGGCUUCGGUGCACAGGUUCCAAAACCAAUAAGGAACGGAAGAACGCUCCAAUGAAGGGCUGUUCAUUUUAGAAGAGGCUUUGCCUGCAGGCUGGGCAGGGGCAGCAGGCAGGAUUGUGUACUGCUCCAUCUGAGCCAUAGCCUGAGCUGCCCGCAGGUUGGGGAGUUCAGCGCAGAGCGCUGCAGGUGGCCGGCGGAGGCGGUGAGCGGUGAUCGAGGUACUCGUGGAGUCGAGAUGACGUGUAUGGGAAGCUGGCACGCUGUGACACAGCCGGCGUUUAGCUGAUGUUGUCAUUCCUUAAUAAAGACUGCACACGGAUCUUUUGGCUUCCAAACACGUGAGGUGGUGCUGUUUCUCUCCCCGCUGCGGCGCUGCUGCCUGUCAGGG
Long non-coding RNA from Gallus gallus (chicken), 1186 nucleotides. Lineage: Eukaryota; Metazoa; Chordata; Aves; Galliformes; Phasianidae. The record is from Ensembl.